UACUCCCCAACCAACCCUCUGUAGCAGUUCCAUUCGAUUGGAGGAGAAGUCGAGAGGAGCAGGCGGUGGCGGAGGAUUCGACGGCAUUCACGGCCGUUGCUGGCACUGGACCGUAGCGUCAUUGCCAGAGCAGCCACAUCGAGUAGGUAAGGCUAUAGAAGCUUUUGUACUAGUGAAAUCUAUCUCCCUUCCUCCCUGGUUACAUUCCUCUUGAGCCCUCUCGAGAUUCAUGUAGAUUCGCAGCGCUCUAGUGUCCCUGUCGGCGGGGGAGUCGCAUGUGUGCCAUUUAGGGCAGCAUUGCGCAGUUCCAUCGCCAUCACGGUGGUAGUCAAGCCAGUGAGGCUCGCCCAGUCGGCAACCACCUAUCUAUGUACGAGAGAUUAGAUGCCUGCAAUUUUAUGUGUGAGCGAUUUCUAAUGUGUUUUUGUUAUUUUUGAUUGUCUCAUAGGUUGUGCUUAUCACUGUUUUAUGGCGAUGUUGUAGUUGAAUUGAGGGUCUGAUAGUUGUGUAUGAACCCUAGAUCUAGUUAGGUGCAUUUCAAUGUGUAGGAUAAUGGUAGUCAUAGCAAUUUCAACACACUUGUUUACCUACAACUAUACUCCUUGAUGGCAACUAAUUUUCUGAAUCAACUAUGUCUUACCGUAACACAAUGGCUUGUGGUGACCAUCAAGAUGAUGAUGAUGACUUCAUGAAAUUACCGGCACGGAAUCAUGCGAACGAUCGUACAAAAGAUGGCGAUGAGAAGAAGAAACAUCACCGCAAGAGGACUUCGCAAGAAUGCCUGACUAUAUUGAAAUAGGGAUUUACUAAUGACUAGAAGGGAGCUACCGGUGAGAUGGGGAUGUAGGCUCUGAUGGAUGUUCGAUGCAUGAACCUAGUAAACCCUGUAUGCGACUGGCUCGGAGAGACAUAUGUGCCCGAGUCUACGGAAUUCGUAAUUCUGGGACGUGGAAGACUGCCUUUCGAUGAGGAAUCGGUGAUCUGCACUUUGGGUGUCUCCCGUGGAGAAAUCAAAGUCCCGUAUGAGGUGGACAAUGAUAUUGAGGAAGUUUUGUUCGCCCGUUUGUUUCCUAGAAUGGCAUCCAUGCCUAAUACGACUGUGCUGGCAACUUCGCUGGAGGGCAUGAUAGCCAUGGCAAGGUAUUUAAGAUGAAGCUGCUCAUGUACUUGAUCUCGGCUGUCUUUGCGCCUACCACAUCUCUUCACCAAAGCAACAGGCGAAGCUGAAAGAUGUUUAAAACAUGAAUUGGUGUAAAUUCAUUGCCGACUUCUUGCAUGGUGCAUUCUUAAAUAAGAUGUACCGGAAGGGAUGUCGCUUGCACCUAAUGGAGGUCCGCCGCCUCCACAUAAGUUUGUUGUCUCUGCCUAGACUUAUGAUGAUGUCAAGGUUGUGCUUGCCGCAAACAAGAUAUCUGAUACAAAAUAUGGGAAACUGCAGCUGAUGGCCAAGGAUGCCAUAGACUACACUGUGUUUGGUGGGCACAAAACAUUGGCAAGUGGAUGGAUGUGCAUCCAGCUCCAUCUUGUUCCUCUAAGGCGGGGGCACCUAUUGAGCACCUAGUUGGGCAUUUUGGUUCUGGCAUGACCAACUUGCUUGGGAAGUUGGUCGAGGGCUAGACAACACUGAAUGGUUCUGAUAGCGACAUGGUUGCGAGGCAGUUCACAUCAUUUGUUGAAGAAUGGACAAAUUGACCAACUGGUUGCCGUGGUAGGUAUGACUACAACAGCUCUCGGGAGCUCCCUGACACACAAGACGAGCUAGUCGGGGAUGGCUUCGGUGGCGUGGAUGCUGGUAUCGACAAGGAUGGUGACGAUGACAUGGAGAAUGUGCCACAUGACACUAACCAUGAUGAUGAUAAGAAUGCUAAGGAUGCACCGAAUGUUCUUCCACCAGAUGAAGGCAUUGAUCCAACUGUGCGAGAGACACGGGGGUUUCGCUCUCAAAGAGGGGCAGGGCUCCAGAGGAUGCUAGCCAACGCUCUAUUGGGAAGAGGUGUAGGACCGAUCCCGUAGCUACUAGGAGGAGUGAGGCGACAGCUGGUGGACCAUCAGUUAAGCAGAAACAAGCACCCACGCCAACCCGUGUUUCUACCAGGUUGAACAAGGGGGCUCCCACUGCUAGUGCCACCACUUCCACUAGGUCGUCUCCUCGCAAAUCUACGUCCAACACCGGGGAUCAUGUCGUGCUGGAAGACUUGAGGAAGACAAUCAAGAGAUGGGUUCUCCCUGUUUUUAUUGUCCUAAUGCUAAUUUUUGUUUGAUGCAUUCUAAACCAUAUCCAACUUUUUACUUGACCCAUUUUUGUGGCAACUAUUGUCUGCCUCUCAUGGCAACUGUCUAACUUGCCACAUGGCUACUCCUAUGUGUCCCACAUGGGAACUGCUGUUUUAUGAUCUAAAUUUGCUGCAUGGCAACUGCUGCUUCUUCUGCAUGGCAACUCCUUACUAGACCAAAUUGCAAAUCUUGUCCACUCAUACGUCAACUAAUAGCUUCCACUAACUUCAACAGCCUGCGUUUCAUGUGUGUUCAUCCAUACCUUGUUUUCAAAUGGCAGCUCUGGCAUGUCACACAUUUUCAUUUUUUUAUGAAUACCAUAGAAAUUAUUUUGUUCCUACCGCUCACCUUUUUGUUCUCUUCAUGCGUUUUCUUAAAUGGUUGUCUUAUCAUUGACACAGUUUUUUGCAGGGGAAGAAGAAUACUGCACACUCGACCAAUCGCACUACCAAAGACCCACUUGAACGCAUUCACUCCAAGUUGUCGACAUUUGAUAAUGCAGAUAUUCAUGAGCCAACAAAUAUGUCGGUGUUCUAGGAACGGGGGUACCCAGACUUGCGUGCCUGCAGCCCACGACGUGGCUCCAUUAGCGGCCCGGUACGACCGAGUUUUAGCAGCGACAACACAAGACCCACGUGAGGGGCCAACCCUCGCGAGGCGGACGACGCCAAGGCCUCCCUGGGGGCGGCCUCUCUAGGAUGGCUCCAGCGGAGCGGAGAUAUCAACGCAAGGUGCACCUUGCGAGGUUCACAUGACAUGAGCCAUGACGACCAAGGCUACACGGGCGCCAACGGGCGCAGUGUGCCAGUUUCCCCUUUGGUGCCAAGGAGGAAAGCGCAGGCGCGGAGUCCCAAGGAAUCAGGAAAAGGUUUCCAUAUUGGCAGGACGGGGGUCAUCGCGGAGCCCACUACAGCAUCACUGCCCGAGCCUUUGCAGGCGAAGAGUAA
Triticum aestivum (bread wheat) is the source of this 3221-nucleotide long non-coding RNA. RefSeq lists it as uncharacterized. The record is from RefSeq and is a predicted model, not a curated record. The transcript has 7 exons. Lineage: Eukaryota; Viridiplantae; Streptophyta; Magnoliopsida; Poales; Poaceae.